UCAAGGCACGAGGUUAAAACAAACUUUGCCUCCGAGUGAAACAAUUUUUUUUUCACCAAACCAACACGAGGAAACUACUAUCUAUAAAAUACCAAAAAUCAAAUUAAAUCAAAUCCAAAUGAACGUUAUAAAAAAAUAUAUAAAACAUAAUUUAUAAGUCAAUUCUACUAGCUAACAUAAGGAAGCAAUUCAAAAUUUGCAUCUGAUUACUUUGCCACGUGUGGAUAAAAUGCAACUUUCUCAUUAGUUUUUGAACAAUCAAGAGGGCCUUUAAAAUACAAUCAUAUUUUCAUUUGUUUGAAAUGAAUUUGUUUCUAUGAAAUUAAAAUUAUCUUAAGAUGCCUGGUUUUACUAUUAAUUUGUUAAAUUAAAAUCAUUAAGUUCUAAUUCUAAUGUAAUGUAUAAUUGUCAAUCCUACUCUUGUGCAAUAUUUUGGUGAGAAUUGCUUGUUAUCAUAAAUCAUAACAGUAACGGGCUUAGUCUCUCAUAUAACAUGCAAUUCAAAUUAUUUAGUAUAAUAAAACAUACAAAACAAGCUGUCAUUGAACCAACCAUGCAGUACGCGACAUAGACUGGCGGCGAUAACAGUGUUUUGAGCGCCAGAUAAGUGAAUACCUAUCCAUAAAUAAACUAAUUUAACCAUGUGGAUUAAGCGUCUUACUUUCGAGUCAUUCAAUAUUAUCUUUGGAAAGAGUACCGGGCAAGCCAGUCGCACACUUUCCAAUGCCAGUUAUCUGCACAACCCCGGCUCAGAGCCCUUGACUUACGCGACCAUAGGCCAGGCACUUGAGGCCAGCGUGCAUCGCUACCCUGGCCGAGUAGCCGUGCGCUCUGUGUACGAAGACCGCACCCUCACUUAUGAGCAGCUACUGGCUGAAGCAGAUGCUUUGGGCUGUGCCCUAAGAUCUCGAGGGCUGGAGAAGGGUGACCGGGUGGGCAUCUGGUCGCACAACAACGCUGCUUGGAUCGUCGCGCUGGUCGCGGCGGCUAGGGUCGGCCUUAUCUCCGUAGCUUUAAAUCCAGUGUACGAGAAACCUGAAUUAACAUACUGUAUUAAAAAAACAGAGUUGAAAGCCAUCAUUAUAGGUGAUACUUUAGAGAAGGCUAACUAUUUUAAGACAAUAGAACAGCUAGUACCAGAAGUACAUCGUCAAAAAGCAGGAUCCAUAGAGUCCAGAGAAUUUCCUAGUUUGAAAACCAUCAUCACGUGUGAUAAAAACGCAUUACCAGGAACAUUCAUGUACGACUCCCUGGUAGCAAACAGGCAUGAUGCAUCACGGUACGGCGCUCAAGUAGACCCAGAUGACGGCGCCAUCAUCCACUUUACAUCUGGAACUACUGGUGAUCCAAAAGCAGCAUUGGACUCGCAUUUCGGAGUAGUGAAUAAUUCUUACUUUAUGGGCAAAAGGCAAAACCUGCACGAAGGCCAUGAAAUCACGUGUGUUCAGUCUCCGUUGUUCCAUGCAUUGGGUUCGGUCAUCACGGUUGCCUCUGCGCUCCGGCACGGGACGUCGCUGGUGCUGGCGGCACCUACGUACAACCUCGAGGCAAAUAUGAAAGCUCUGCUAUCUGAGAAAUGUACCGUGAUAAAUGGCACGCCGACGAUGUUUGUGGACCUUGUGUCCCUGGCGAGGAAGAGGGGAGUGAGCACCAACCUGCGCGUGGCGCUGAACGGCGGCGCGCCGUGCAGCCCGCAGCUCAUACGGGAUAUCAAGCAACACCUCAACGCCCGCACUGUUUCGAGUUUAUUCGGAAUGACAGAGACUACAGCAGCUGUGUUUCAGUCGCUGCCCGACGAUAGCACUGAUUUGGUUGCUGGGACAGUCGGCUACAUACAAGACCAUGUUGAAACUAAGGUAGUCGACGAACAAGGUAAAGUGGUGCCAUUUGGCAGUUCCGGGGAGCUGAUGGUGAGGGGAUACAACACCAUGAUGGGCUACUGGGGGGAGACGGAGAAGACCAGGCAGACUUUAAGGGAAGAUGGAUGGCUACACACAGGAGACAAGUUUACUCUGAGCGAAGAUGGUUAUGGGCGGAUAGUGGGUCGUCUGAAGGACAUCAUAGUGCGCGGCGGGGAGAACAUCGCGCCUAAGGAGAUCGAAGACCUGCUCAACACGCAUCCUGACAUCGUCGAGAGCCAAGUACCUACCUACUCAUUUGAUAUCUAUGAACCAUUAGUGCGGAUUACGUUGCACAUAUCAUGCUAUAGUCGUCAUGUAUGAGUCGUUACGUGAUGGAGCCAGGGGGGACGGGGAGUCAAGCCGAACCUCACUAAAUCUCACCUGGAGGAGAGAAAGGGUUUCGGUAAAUAUCACUUAAUUUUUUUUGGGCAUAAAAUAAUGUUAAAAUUUAAGAAAGGUAUAACUGUGAUUUUAGAUCACGAUCUAAAAAUCUCAUACUAAUAGUAUUAAGACUAAGUCUUUAUAGUCCCAAUAAGAUUAAUAAUUAUAAUAAAUCAAAAUGUGUUUUUUAUUUUAUUAAUCUAAUGCAUUUAUUUAUUUAUUAUCUACGUUUAUUUAUUCAGACAACAAGAUCCACAAAUGUGUUAGUAUUAUUAAAGCUAAAACCUAAAAUCUAUGUUAAUAUUCGUAACUAAUGACAACAUAUUUUUAAUUUAAUGUUGCAUUAUUGAGCACUCAUUCCUUACAGCUAAUGUCUUCAGGAGGCUGUUCGGACUGUCACGUAUUCUGUUCAGAAGCGAUGCCAUCUUUUUCAGCGAUUGAUAAUAAACAUAGAUAACGAACUAGCUCUGCAAAAUGACCCCACACACAUUGUGCCAAAGCAGGCGUAGGCGGGGCGUCAACAUUGUGCCGCGGAGCUAUUUAGUUCGCAAAUGGCGGCCCAUUGUCACAGUCAUAGUAAGAAGUAUUAAAAUUAUAUCUUUAAUAAAAUAAAUAUGCCUUAUUGUGCGGAUAAAUGAUGUGCUACUCGUUCCAACAAACACUGGAAAAAAUAUGGGAUUACCUUUCACGUAUAGUUUAGCUAGGAUCAUAUUAUUUUGAUUUCUCUUGAUCAAAACAGGUUUCAUAUGGGGAUGAUGUUAUGCAUUUUAAACAAUCGUUUAUAUUAAGAAACUUUCAUUUUAAAUUUGUUCAGGUUGUUGUUUUGAUAAUUUAAAUUCGUGAUAGUAAAUACGAAACGUCGUUGUAGGUGGCGCUUUUUUAUGUGUAGAUACAUUUUUACUAAGUAAAGAUCUACGCUGCUAUUUACAACUUUUCGUUAAAUUCGCGGAAGGCUGGACCGAUUUGGCUAAUUUUGGUAUUGGAAUAUUUCUAGGUGCAGGGACGGUUUGAACGGUGAAAAAUAUGGAAAGAAUGCAAGUGUGGGUGUUAAACCUACCUACGUGGAUCGUAAAUAAUAAUGCGCACACUUAAUAAACAAUAUGUAAUGUCCGAAAGUACAGUACAGUUAAAAAGUUAUUAUUAUUUAAGUUAGUAUUAAACACAUGCGGUUAGCACAGGCACACACAGUUCACCGAAACACUAGUUAGGUUCAUGCACCAUAUCAUUUAUAUUAGUCCGUGAAUCCAUAGGUUAGUAUCACGAUAAGCUACUAGUCAAGUACGCGGAUAGGAAAGCUGACGAUGCGCGAGCGAUCGAUCCCGUGACGUAGGUAACACUGCUGAAGGACGCGGGCGUCGCGACGCACGCGUUACAGGCGCGAGCGGCGGUGGUCGUUGCCAGCCCACGCGCCGCCAUGUUGUGGGCUUUCGUGAGUGAGUCCACACGAAAAAGGUUUUGUCACUCUGUUUUGUUUGCGUACUUUGAUGUGGAGUAGGCCACACAAGGAAAAUAGUAAAAACAAUAAUGAUAUUUUCCCAUACAAACUGUUUCUACGACGACGUAUUCAAUACGAAUUUCUGCAUGAACGACACAAUGUAUUAAUUGGUUCGGAGGCUUAAUUGCCUUUAAACACGUGCGACAAACGAACAAAUAAUAAGCCUGUAUAUUAAUACUCUUUAAAAUAAAAUAAUAAAUAAUCAUACAAAAAUAUUACAUUUAAAACUUUAGUACCUGGGCGACCGAGCUUUGCUAUUUAUUGUAAUAUGGUGGUGUAUAGGUGAUAAUCUACAUAAACUUAAAAAGUAAAAUGUGAACUGACAAUUAUUAUUGUUUACAAUCGAUUUUAACCUUACAGCACUUGUCACAGAGUAACGCCAUCUAUUGUCAAUUUCUCUUAUUACAUAGGUCAUUUUUUUACUAAAUUAAACUUGUCUAAAACAAUAAAAAUUUAAAAAUUAUAUAUAAACUUGAACAUAUAAAAAAAACAAAAGUUAGUCACCGGGCGAGAUUCGAACCCGUAACACUCGAUUAGCAGUCCGCGUCUUAACCCGUUGGACUAGACGGACAGUGGCCGGCGACACGAAAUUAGCAACCAUAUUCUGCGUCGAAAGAAAAACGCAUGAAAACUUGAAAACACGCGUUUUCCCAAACAUAAGAAUAAUCUAGAUAGAUUGUAUACCCCCAAAAACCCCCAUAUACCAAAUUUCAGCGAAAUCGUUAGAGCCGUUUCCGAGAUCACAGAAAUAUAUAUAUAAAUAUAUAUACAAGAAUUGCUCGUUUAAAGGUAUAAGAUAUAUCGCAUGAAACCGUCUACUUAGAGUUGGUUGCGAUUGUCAUGUAUUUUCAAGUGUCAAUGCUAGAGCCAAUCACAGCGCCUUAUUUUAUAAUACACCAAUCGUAGUUUGGGUGGUUUAAAUUGACUAAUCAUGGUCAAACGAAGUUUCAUCGAAGAAAACAAGACCUAAACUUUGACGAGUUGCAAUUGGUUCGUUAUGAGUAGGUACUGCGUGUUUUAAUAGUGGGGCCACUUUUACGCUGAUAUUUUGUUUGACGUUACUCUUCCAUGUUUUUUUCAUUCGCUGAUCUUUUUACGCAGCACAGCAUUGAAACUGUCUACGCGUGCUUCCGCGAACAUGGUGGAUGCACUGCAGAACCGUGACAGCCCCAGCAGCGCCCUGAAAGCAUUAUUAUACUGGACGCGCAGAGAGCUGAGCGACCGUUGCGUACAGCCUACCCAUAGUGCAGCCGAGUAGGUACAGCAGCGAAGUGCAGUAUGCUCUAAAGAGCGUGGUUUUAACUGCAGCUGUAUACCGCACGAAUCUGUGGGCCAGCAUGUUCGCCUUUACCGCCAGCGCUCUGCGCUCCCGCUCUACAUCGACAUCAUCUUUUAAAUUAUCUGUUAUACAGUGGCCUAGAUACUUAUACUGACUUACUCUACUAACUGGAACUCCGUUUAGUAAUACAGGUAGUGACAUAUCCGGGCCUUCCGUACUCGGAGCCCUAAAUAUACCAUAUACACCGUCUUAUUACGCAAAUUGUACACGAGGCCGUGAGAAAGAGCAUAUUUUUCACAAAUACUAAUCAAUUUAUUGAGUGCACCGACCGAUGGAGCCAACAGCGCCAUGUUAUCUGCGUAACUAAUUGUUAUGGCUAACGCCGUCUAUAAAGCACCCCGCGUGCUCGCUGCUCACAAACGCAAAACACAAAGUUUGAAAGAUCUCACGUGAGAUUAGGGCACGGGGAGGGACGAGUCGAGACAAAUCUUAUGACGUCUCCCGGAAGAGGUAUCAAAAAAUACGCAAAAACGCCUCACGUAAUUAAUGGACGCCCCUUAACUGUCAAACUGUCCAUAGAAUGAAAUUCUAGCGAAGUAAACAAUCGUUGGCAUAACACCCGCAUAUUCGCAUACGAGAAAUCUUUGUAAUCAUAAUCAACUCUUUUCUUGUAACAAGGCGUCAUUGUUAUCAAUCAUAUC
Molecule: RNA transcript, 5757 nt
Organism: Cydia pomonella (codling moth)
Lineage: Eukaryota; Metazoa; Arthropoda; Insecta; Lepidoptera; Tortricidae
Gene: Acsf2
Gene name: medium-chain acyl-CoA ligase ACSF2, mitochondrial
Exons: 12
Source: RefSeq, a predicted model, not a curated record